RNAcentral lists this ribosomal RNA (122 nucleotides) under Heterodera glycines (soybean cyst nematode). Lineage: Eukaryota; Metazoa; Nematoda; Chromadorea; Rhabditida; Heteroderidae. The record is from RNAcentral.
GCUUACGACCAUACCACGUUGAAAACACGCCAUCCCGUCCGAUCUGGCAAGUUAAGCAACGUUGGGCCUUCUUAGUACUUGGAACGGAGACGUCCUGGGAAUCGAAGGUGUUGUAAGCUUUU